UAAGCAAUAGAAAACGGUUGGGGGAUGAGCAAAAUGAAGUUAUCCAAUUUUUGUCAGAAAACAAACUGUUUAAGUGUCAUCUUUGUAAGUUGAUGGCAAAAUAUGAUUAUUACGGAAACCGCCCACCUUUUGUCUCAAAGCGCGUUGUUCUUUUAGAAAAAGCUUUUGUCCUUAAAGAUAUAUUUUCACCUUAUUCCGAACUUGAAAC
Molecule: long non-coding RNA, 208 nt
Organism: Zophobas morio
Lineage: Eukaryota; Metazoa; Arthropoda; Insecta; Coleoptera; Tenebrionidae
Exons: 3
Source: RefSeq, a predicted model, not a curated record